Microtus ochrogaster (prairie vole) is the source of this 106-nucleotide small nuclear RNA. The record is from Ensembl. Lineage: Eukaryota; Metazoa; Chordata; Mammalia; Rodentia; Cricetidae.
GCGAGCAUGAUGUCUAGUUUCUAGUGAAAUUGAAACGAUACAGAGAAGAUUAGCAUGGCCCCUGCGCAAGGAUAACACACAAAUUCAUGGAGUGUUCCAUAAUUUU